UUCGCAAUGCCCGAAAGGGUGACGAUGCGACGCCGCGUGAGCGAAGAAGGCCCUAGGGUUGUAAAGCUCUGUCGAGGGUUAUGAAAUAUAGAUGGGUUAAUACCCCAUUUAUUUGACAAAAGCCCAAAAGGAAGCCGCGGCUAACUCUGUGCCAGCAGCCGCGGUAAUACAGAGGUGGCGAGCGUUGUUCGGUAUUAUUGGGCGUAAAGAGCACGUAGGUGGUUUUGUAAGUCAGGUGUGAAAGCCUUCUGUUCAAAGGAAGAACGGCAUCUGAAACUGCAGAUCUUGAGUGUAGGAGGGGAGAGUGGAACUUCUGGUGGAGCGGUGAAAUGCGUAGAUAUCAGAAGGAACGUCGGCGGCGAAAGCGACUCUCUGGCCUAUUACUGACACUGAGGUGCGAAAGUUAGGGGAGCAAACGGGAUUAGAUACCCCGGUAGUCCUAACCGUAAACGAUGGGCACUAAGUAGAGGGGUUUU
This 476-nucleotide ribosomal RNA is filed under the name uncultured anaerobic ammonium-oxidizing bacterium. RNAcentral describes it as "bacterial SSU rRNA". It matches the Rfam family "Bacterial small subunit ribosomal RNA", at positions 365 to 832 of the family's 1533-position model. The record is from RNAcentral.